Molecule: long non-coding RNA, 644 nt
Filed under: Canis lupus familiaris (dog)
Lineage: Eukaryota; Metazoa; Chordata; Mammalia; Carnivora; Canidae
Description: lncRNA (ENSCAFG00000052762.1)
Source: RNAcentral
AGAGAAAGAAUCAAACAUUUAUCCUGUCUUUUCUGUACAUACCAUACCACGGGGUAACCAAUGGGAAAAUAGUUUCUGAUUCGAAUCAGCAAAAUGAAAAUGAAACUAUUAGACAAUUGGAAAACGUGGACGGGCUGUAUCGCAUUGUGAGAACUACAAGAAGCAGAGAGCAAUGCAGCUUAUAGCAGGAGGGGUGAAAGAAAGAAAAAGAAAAGGAAGGAAAGAAGGAAGCAAGAAAAACAUUUAGAGAAUGCCUAGCCUGUCUCUAGAAAUCCUAAGGAGGCUGAAUUAAUCCCUUCCAAAGUCGCACAGGUAAUUUGGCAUAGCUGAAUUGUGAUUCAGUUGAUUUGUAAUUUCUAACAGAGUAAUUUUCCACUAUCAUUUCUUUUAUCGUUAUUAAUUAUUUUUGUGGGUUGCGUACAAUUUGCUUGAUGCAAUACUAAGUGUUGGGAAUACAAAGAUGAGUAAAUUAUCAUAUUUUAUUAUCAAAUCUCUUGCCUGAUUAACUGAGAGUUUUCCAUGCUUCAAGGUGACAAGCAACUCAUCAGUGCAAAUGUCUAAUAUGUGUGUUAAUAUGCUAGUCAUUCCUUCUCAGUGAUAUAACAUAUUAAUGGUUACAAUAGAAUGUCAGCAAAGAUGGCCCC